ACCAUACAAAGUGAGGACUGCCUGUACAGAAAGAAAAAAUAGGCAUUGGGAAUUUAUUUUUUGUUUUUGUAUAUUGUCUUCACAUCUCAAAGAAAAUGUAAAAGAAUGCAGAAAAAUAUUUCAUUAAAAAAAAUGCUGCCUGAAAUAUUUCCCUGAAACUAGCAUAAUGCAAACUUAGGCCAAUCCUGUAACAUUUCAGAAUAUUUUCAACCAAAAACAACAAAAAGCUUUCUGAUAAAAUUAAACAGCAAUUUAUAAAAUGCUCAUUUAAGUAGCAACACAGAAAUGCUGUCUCUUGGUAAGAACCCAAACCUUAGCUAUCAAGACGUCCAGGUCCAUUUUGAGAGCUUAUGUUCUGCUCCACCAACUUCCAAGGUCAAUUUUGUCCUAAAUCUGUUUCAUUGUAUCACUUUCACAUAUCAGUUGCUUAUAGUAGAUUUUCUGCUGUUCUCAUGUUGUAAUUGAUAAGGGAUUUGUAAAUGAUCAGUCAGCAAAAAUGACUACUAUUAUCCCAAAAAGUACAAAUAUACUGAUAUUCAUGACUGUUUUUUUUUUUUUCAAUAGAAACCUGCAACCUAGGGAAAAGAUGAUAGUCUGACUGCUGCUUGCACAAAUAGCAGGGAGGCCUUUCUUUAGUACAAUGGACUGACAAUGAGCAUAGUUUUUGUAAGGCUGGAAUAACAAGUUACGAAAUACCACCAUCAUCACAGCUGAGAAGGAUGUGAGAGCCGAUUCUGCACUGCAAUCACCAGCUCACAGCACUUAGUUGAAUGUCUCCUCUCCUCCAAAACCAGAGCCAAGGCCAUCAGCAGAACCCUCAAAGUCAUCUGAGAUGAGAUACUGCAGGAUUAAAUAUGAACUUUUCCUCAACGGUUUGAUGGAUCAAAGUUAUAGUGUCUUCAGCAAUUUUUAUCCAAUUAUAGUUUGAAGAGUUAAGCUAUAACUUAAACUUAUAUUUAAGCAAAACCAGCAUAAGUGAAAAAAAGUACCACUUCAAAACAGAUUCAAAAACAAGAAAUAAAACAAAAGCUUAAGAACUUUUGCUAAAAAUUAUCUCCCUUUCUGCAACCACUUGGAAGAAAAGGGGGUAAAACAUACGAUAAAAUGUUAAUUACUUGGAACACAUUUAACCAGACUUUUCAAUCAUUUGGAUCAUUUUUUGCCUUUUGGUUAUUUUUGGACAAAUAUUUCUGCAAUUUGAAACAUAAUUUAACUCUUCUAGAACCAUGCUUCUUUGCAAUAGCAUCAAUAGUUUAGCACAAAAUUUUAAGAAGUGUAAUGCUAUGAAGAAUAGCAUAGUAAGAAAUUUUUUUUUCUGCAAACAUUCUUGGUUGUUAAAGAAAAUUGUUUUAAAACACAAGCUUGGGAGGCCGAGGCGGGCGGAUCACGAGGUCAGGAGAUCGAGACCAUCCUGGCUAACACAGUGAAACCCCGUCUCUACUAAAAAUACAAAAAAAUUUGCCAGGCGUGGUGUCGGGCAACUGUAGUCCCAGCUACUCAGGAGGCUGAGGCAGGAGAAUGGCGUGAACCCAGGAGGUGGAGCUUGCAGUGAGCCGAGAUCGUGCCACUGCACUCCAGCCUGGGCAACAGAGUGAGACCCCGACUGAAAAAAACAAAAAACAAAAAAACACAAGCUUUACCUUUGUAAACUAAGAGAUAUAUAUAAAAAAGGAAAAUUUAUCAUGCAUAAAAAACCUUGGCAUAUAUAUCUGGCUACAUAUUUUUACAUAUGCAUAUUUGUAUUUUACAUAUACAUAUUUUUAUUGUGUUCCAGGAUUGAAGAGUAAUCAUAAACCCUGUGCAAAACAGAUGAGGUGACCUUAGCUUCAACCCUCCAGUUCUCUUGCAUGAUAUCUAAUUGCAAAAAUUUAUAGCAGGGUUUAAGAGCAGAUAUGGCUUAUUUAUCCAGAAACAUCUGAUUGUAUAUAAAGUCAUGAAGUAACAUUCUGUAAGCACCUGGGCACUCAGCUGGAGUAGGGGUAUGCAAGAAUCUUCUUCACCAUAUUUUCCUUAACUUGGUUUUC
This 2024-nucleotide long non-coding RNA is filed under the name Homo sapiens (human). RNAcentral describes it as "HSALNT0180968". The record is from RNAcentral. Lineage: Eukaryota; Metazoa; Chordata; Mammalia; Primates; Hominidae.